Molecule: unclassified non-coding RNA, 347 nt
Filed under: soil metagenome
Description: partial contains 5.8S ribosomal RNA, internal transcribed spacer 2, and large subunit ribosomal RNA
Rfam family: 5.8S ribosomal RNA (bases 1-120)
Source: RNAcentral
GAUGAAGAACGUAGCGAAAUGCGAUAAGUAAUGUGAAUUGCAGAAUUCAGUGAAUCAUCGAGUCUUUGAACGCACAUUGCGCCCCCUGGUAUUCCGGGGGGCAUGCCUGUCCGAGCGUCAUUGCUGCCCUCAAGCACGGCUUGUGUGUUGGGCCGUCGUCCCCCUCCUAGGGAACGGGCCCGAAAGGCAGCGGCGGCACCGCGUCCGGUCCUCGAGCGUAUGGGGCUUCGUCACCCGCUCCGUAGGCCCGGCCGGCGCUUGCCGACGACCAUCAAUCUCUUUCUCCAGGUUGACCUCGGAUCAGGUAGGGAUACCCGCUGAACUUAAGCAUAUCAAUAAGCGGAGGA